This is a long non-coding RNA of Mirounga angustirostris (Northern elephant seal), 2530 nucleotides long. RefSeq lists it as uncharacterized. The record is from RefSeq and is a predicted model, not a curated record. The transcript is spliced from 4 exons. Lineage: Eukaryota; Metazoa; Chordata; Mammalia; Carnivora; Phocidae.
UGUCCUGAAGGCAUACUCAACUAAAAAAUAUGCUCAUCAAUAAUAAGUAUCUCCCUUAUCAUGCUGUUUAUUUACUAAAGCUUUGGAGUUAAAAUGAGAGAGGAAAAGGGGGCAGGAAAUCAAGAAAUCUAAAGGAUGCAAGCAGGCCCACAGCCAAGCCAUUGAGAGACAAGCCCUUGGGAAACAAAUUAGCUCACGUACCUCAAGUGCUCCUGGAGCUUUCCCACAGUACCUCUUGGCCAGUGCUUCGACAAGAAAUGUAUUGGCAAGAAGACCGUGGUUGGGGAGAGAAGUCCCAGAGAUGGGCAAGCCAGGGAUAGUGACACAAAGAUAAGUAGGACCCUAUCCCUAUCUUUGGAGUGUAAGAAGAAAUGGCAAUUUGAAGAGAUACAAUUGGAAGGAUAUCAUAUGUGUUUGGUGUUUGAGUUGACACACAAUGUUCAUUAGUUUCAAGUGUACAACAAGAGAAGAUUUUUAUGCUGCAUAUAUUCAUUAUGUCAAAAAGUCAUUAGUGUUGAAUUUAUAGAUAAUAAUGUGCCCUGGGUUUUUCAAAACUCCUUAGCUGGAAACUGUACAAAAAUUAGUCUCUAAUAGCAGCUGAAGAGUUUCAAUUUGAGUAAAAACUGAACACUUAACUUCUAAUUCAUUGUUAUAACUUGAGAACCAUUUUAAUGUUCAAUCUCCAGUUUUGUUAUUUCAGCAUUUGUGGGUCACUGGAUUUCUUAAAACAUUAAAGCAGGUCUCUUGUUAUUUUUACUAAUUAUGAUUUAAUACAAUUGGCAAACUACAAAGUCUAGUUCAGCAUAUCUAAAAUUAGGUGACCCUCUCCCACUGAUUUUAAUAAAUGUGCCAAAUUUUUCUCUGAAGCUUAUGGAUAAAUAUUGAAGCAUGAUUUCAAAAAGAGUCAUCUAACAAUCACCUCUUGGGAAGAAUUUUGUUUGAACAUCCUGUUUUUUCAUAUGGUAUAUAUUAUAGAACUUGAAAGCAGUAUUAUAAUGACUAUUACCUCUUUCAACCAAGGGAAGUAGUUAUAUAAUAAGAACAUCAGGUUUUAAAGAAAAAGUCCUGAAGCACUUAAAUAAAACAAAUUUUCAAUAAUCUUUGCAACUUUACCCUACACAGAAUUAUUUUACAGGGGGACUGAAAUAAAGUCAAAACAAACAUUUUUAUAAUCAUAUAUGUAAUAUCAAUUCCUCUUUUAUUUCUACAAAUUGAACUAUUUAGUCAUUAUGACGUUUAUUACCUAAGGAUUGAUGAGAGAAAAUCGGGUUCAAUCAUUUUAGACCUUUUACUAUACAUAGUAAUGAUACGAAUAACUUGAUAAAAUUAAUAGCUGUUUGAGUAUAAUUGAUUACAUUCAAUCAGUGUUUCACAAUUUUCAAAAACUUACAUAUGCAUACGUCAUUUUACCUUUACAACUACCACAAGGAAGAUAAGAAAGAAGUUAACAUUUUUGUUUUACUCGUGGCCAGAGAAUUAAGCAACCUGGCAAAGAUCAUAAACAAGUUAUAGAUUUGGGAGUAGGACUACUUCUGUUUAUUCUGAUAAAUAAGAUCAAUCCCAUUAGUCUUUGUCAAAAGAAUACCUAGAGAACUAUGCAAAAAUACAUGAGGUCAUUUUCUAAACAAAUAGUAGUUCUGUCACAUUUGUCUUCAAACAAUAUUCUCAGUUUAUCUCAUUAUGCUGAUUUCAUUGUUAUUGUCUCGUUAUGAGACAAAGUCAUCUUUCAGUUGAGCUCCUCACAACUUAUUUUUAUGUAAAACCCAAAGAGGUUCAAAUUAGUUCAGGCUGAGUUAGAUGUUAUCAUACCUAUAUAUUUAACAUUAUAAGAAACUACCAAAUUAUUUUUCCUAAGCGUUUAUACUAUUUUGUAAUCUCAUCAGCAAUGUAUGAAAAAUCCAGUUGUUUCACAUUCUUACUCACACAUGUUGUUGUCAAUUUUUAAGAUUUUAGUCAUUUUAGUAGAUUUUAAUUAUCUUACUUACGUUUUGAUUUGCAUUUCUCAGAUGAGUAAUGAUGUUGAAUAUAUUUUCAUGCCCGUAUUUGUCACUUGUGAAUUAUCUUUUCUGAAUUGUCUUUUAAAAUUUUUUGUACAUUGUUGAAAAACUGGGUUUGUUUCCUCACUGAAUCACUGACUUUUAAGGACUCUUUAUAUAUUAUUGAUACAAGUGCUUUGUCAAAUAUAUUUGACAAAUACUGAAGAUAUCACCAUUUAUGACUUGUCUUUUCAUUUUGUAACAGCAUCUUAUAGAGGGCAGAGGUCUUCAGUUUUGCUUAAUUCUAAUGUAUCUUUUUUUUAUUGUUGUCUUCUUUUAUGGUUUUGCUUUUUAUGUCCUUCCUAAGAAAUGUUUAGCAGAUUUGACAACAAAGCAAAACCUCUAAAUACUAUGUAAUACUUAAAUUGCCAAAUAUUUGAGCUUGAAUUUCUUGGUAUAGAUUAAAAGAAAGAAGAUAUGUACAGUAGCAACUGUUUAAUCUGGUAACAAGUUAAUCCUUUCUUUGUUUCUUCCCGAGUAAAACCAUUUUCACA